This 492-nucleotide ribosomal RNA is filed under the name uncultured bacterium. Its description in RNAcentral is "partial 16S ribosomal RNA". It matches the Rfam family "Bacterial small subunit ribosomal RNA", at positions 29 to 507 of the family's 1533-position model. The record is from RNAcentral.
AGUGAACGCUGGCGGUAGGCCUAACACAUGCAAGUCGAACGGCAGCACAGUAAGAGCUUGCUCUUACGGGUGGCGAGUGGCGGACGGGUGAGGAAUACAUCGGAAUCUACUUUUUCGUGGGGGAUAACGUAGGGAAACUUACGCUAAUACCGCAUACGACCUACGGGUGAAAGCAGGGGAUCUUCGGACCUUGCGCGAUUGAAUGAGCCGAUGUCGGAUUAGCUAGUUGGCGGGGUAAAGGCCCACCAAGGCGACGAUCCGUAGCUGGUCUGAGAGGAUGAUCAGCCACACUGGAACUGAGACACGGUCCAGACUCCUACGGGAGGCAGCAGUGGGGAAUAUUGGACAAAGGGCGCAAGCCUGAUCAAGCCAUACCGCGUGGGUGAAGAAGGCCUUCGGGUUGUAAAGCCCUUUUGUUGGGAAAGAAAAGCAGCAGGUUAAUACCCCGCUGUUCUGACGGUACCCAAAGAAUAAGCACCGGCUAACUUCGUG